GCUGUGCAAUCUGAUAUUAUGAGCCCUGCUGCAGAGAGAGAGCAGGAAACUGAAGGAGAGUGCUGGAAAUAGUACUCAAGAAAGACAACCACGGGAGAAAGACAGAAGUGAACUGAUUUCAUGCUACCGACAGCAGGAGCUUUUUGUUUUCUCCUUAUUCAUCGUUGUGGUGGAAUAGUUAAAGGCUGGCAGAGAAAUCUACAACACUGGCUGUGUCAAUGUGGAGUAAAAAUGUAAAAUGGUGGGGACCAGUUUAAACAGACCCCUAGAGGAGGUGGCUCAGUCUUUCCCCAAAAGAAAGGAGGGAUGCAGAGACAAGCGCUGCCCAAGUACUGGGGCUUUCGAGAGGGCUGAAAGGGCUGUGUGGAGAAAAAGGUUGUUGCACCCUGCAGGAACAGAUGUGGACAGAACCAGGUUAACUCUGUCAUGGAAGUACAUCUUCCCCCAUGGCUCCCAUGAUGAACUCCACAUGAACUUCACCCGGUUGAACUCGACUGUAUCUGUGGAACCUAAGCAGAUCAGGCCAUGUGAUUGGAUGAGGCCGGCGCUGCAUAUUUGGAAGAUUACUGAAGCCAGGUCUGGGUUGCUAUGGCUGACCCCGAGGAGUCAGAAAAACGUAAUCGCUCACAAGGCUUUUUAAUUAUCUCAUCAUAUCUGAUGAGUGUCCCUGCCAGGGAUGAGCGGCCCCGAAAACAGAGGCAACAGCUGGACUUAUUUGUUGUUUUUAGUUUAUUUAUUUACUACUUUUUGUGUAUAAUUCUCCUUUUUGAGGAAUGUGAUUAUGUCUGAUAUUGUGAUCUGGUUGAAUUACUGAGUUUAUGUUUUCCUGCAUUACAGUUAUAAUAAUAUUAUUAGAUAUUAAUACAACUUUAUUAUUAUUAUUACUUAUUUAUAUGUUAUGUAUAUAAUAAAUCAAAC
Long non-coding RNA from Gasterosteus aculeatus aculeatus (three-spined stickleback), 918 nucleotides. The record is from Ensembl. NCBI's taxonomy places the organism in Eukaryota, Metazoa, Chordata, Actinopteri, Perciformes, Gasterosteidae.